UGGGGAGACACAAAGAUGGCAGCCAUGGAGCUGACACUGCUGUGGGCUUUUCUUGUAGUUCAUAGGGAGGAUCUCUUUUCUUGCCUUUAGUUGGCUCUAGGGCUCUGCAGAGUAUAUUUCUGUUCUCUUCUUACCUUUAACAAACGUGAAACCUCACUAAUUUUUGCACUUGUCUUGACCAAUUCUUUGUUCAGGACAGAAAAAGCCUAGAAACCUAGAAACCAGACUCCUUUCCUAAGGGUCGGAGGUGAAUGUAAUCACCUACCAGCUGCUAAGGGCCAUUGAAACCAGGCAGAGAUGUGAAUGCAGGCAUCUUCCUCUUCCACAAUCCACAGAUUGAUUAUAAAUUUCACAAUAUCUGAUGCCAGAUGCAGUGGCACAUUCCCGGAGACCAGCCUGGGCUACACAGUGAGUUCAAGACUCCUCUGAACGGCAUGGUCUUCCUCUUGGCCACAGCCUGCAGGGUCGUCUGCUGGGACCUCCCUGAAGAGCAAGUCCGGGCUGGGAAGCCACGGGGAGGUCCCCGGGUGACUCACGCUCCACAGACUCUGGCCUUUAAGAGGGAAAAAUCGCCCGUUUCUCACAGAUGCAGCGUGUCAGAGGCCCUGCUCCCCAGGGCAGUGCAGGGCGGCCACCACAAGGCCUGCACAGCUGGAAGGCGCCACCCUGGGCGCUUCUGCGGCAGAAAAGCAGCCGGAAGACACUGUAUUCAGCCAGCGGCUGGGACCCUGUUGUGCUUGGUGGAGCUGUGCUUUAUUUCUGUUGCCCUUCGGGAAUUCUGUUUAAGAGAAAUAUUUAUAGCUUUAUAAUAAAAAACACUGCUCCUUUUUUUUAAAAA
Long non-coding RNA from Chinchilla lanigera (long-tailed chinchilla), 838 nucleotides. RefSeq lists it as uncharacterized. NCBI's taxonomy places the organism in Eukaryota, Metazoa, Chordata, Mammalia, Rodentia, Chinchillidae. The record is from RefSeq and is a predicted model, not a curated record. The transcript has 3 exons.